RNAcentral lists this long non-coding RNA (914 nucleotides) under Trifolium pratense (red clover). RNAcentral's name for it is "long non-coding RNA (TPRA_LNC008254)". Lineage: Eukaryota; Viridiplantae; Streptophyta; Magnoliopsida; Fabales; Fabaceae. The record is from RNAcentral.
AUACAUAGCUUCUCAUUUGUUGUAGUUUUAAAUUUGGUUUAGUGAUGUUGGUGCUCAAAACAAAUUGAAUCAAGUGAUGGGAAAUUGAAGGCACUGAGAUUGAGUUCAUUAAUUAUAACAUAGGUAUCAAUUUUUUGUACUACUUAUUUGGAUUUAUUUUUUUUAGAUUGUUCCCUUGAAGUUUUGUUUGUGUUGAUGGAUUUAUUUGGUCUCGAUUGUUGGUGAACUUUAAGCUUGGUUAUCGGAGGAAAAUGCUUAAUUAAUGAACACAUAUGUUUUGUAGCACUGGAUAGGUGUAACUAAUGCUAUAUAAGGGGUUAGCUUAUGCUAUAUCUUUUAUUCGUGUCUUGGUUCUAUUUUAAGUUGUUUCUAUUGAUUAUUAAAUAACAAUGUGUAUCAAAUGAGGCAUAUGGACUUGAAUUAGUUUGCAUAAUUUAAAGAGGCUAGUGUGUUAAAUUCUCUGCACAGCUUAUGUCAUUUUGUGAACGAUUGACUUAUUCUGUUUGACACUUCCAAAGCACCUUACUUAAGUUGCACGGGUUGAAGGGUUAGAGGCUUGGAGUUCACCAAUCUAAUGUAGAACGUAUUCUCUGUGACAUGGUUCAGGUAAAGGCACAUGGUGCUAAUGUAGUGGAAGUUGCCUAUCCUUAUUGUUUAUCAUGGUGAGGUUUAAAAAGUUGUAAUUAAUUUCUGAACGUUAUGAUUAUAGUCAAGUUUCUAUGAUUUUUCUUCAUGGUUGUUUCUAUUUUGUUUAAUUGAAGGCCAAAUUGUGAAGGUGGUUUAUAUGACGAUGAUGUGCACGUACACGCGGUUACAAGCAUUAAAGCUUGCUUUGGAAUUGGGGGCUGUUUUUUUAUGGAAUUGGAUCUCAAGGUAUACCAACAGUAAUUCAAGUGUGAAAUUAGAUGAUCUAU